AGAGUUUGAUCAUGGCUCAGAUUGAACGCUGGCGGCAUGCCUUACACAUGCAAGUCGAACGGCAGCACGGGAGCAAUCCUGGUGGCGAGUGGCGAACGGGUGAGUAAUAUAUCGGAACGUGCCCAGUAGUGGGGGAUAGCCCGGCGAAAGCCGGAUUAAUACCGCAUGAGACCUGAGGGUGAAAGCGGGGGAUCGCAAGACCUCGCGCUUUUGGAGCGGCCGAUAUCUGAUUAGCUAGUUGGUGAGGUAAAGGCUCACCAAGGCGACGAUCAGUAGCUGGUCUGAGAGGACGACCAGCCACACUGGGACUGAGACACGGCCCAGACUCCUACGGGAGGCAGCAGUGGGGAAUAUUGGACAAUGGGCGAAAGCCUGAUCCAGCAAUGCCGCGUGAGUGAUGAAGGCCUUAGGGUUGUAAAGCUCCUUUACCCGAGAUGAUAAUGACAGUAUCGGGAGAAUAAGCUCCGGCUAACUCCGUG
Molecule: ribosomal RNA, 479 nt
Filed under: uncultured bacterium
Lineage: Bacteria
Description: bacterial SSU rRNA
Rfam family: Bacterial small subunit ribosomal RNA
Source: RNAcentral